Molecule: non-coding RNA, 98 nt
Organism: Paramarasmius palmivorus
Lineage: Eukaryota; Fungi; Basidiomycota; Agaricomycetes; Agaricales; Marasmiaceae
Source: the annotation of a GenBank genome assembly
UCCCUCUUAGCUCAGUUGGUAGAGCGCGUCACUAGUAUUAUAGGGAUGGACUCAUAUACAGUAUGACGAGGUCAGUCGUUCAAGUCGGCUAGAGGGAA